GGUUAAGUGAAUAAGGGCGCACGGUGGAUGCCUUGGCACUAGGAGCCGAUGAAGGACGGGACUAACACCGAUAUGCUUCGGGGAGCUGUAAGUAAGCUUUGAUCCGGAGAUUUCCGAAUGGGGAAACCCAGCAUCUUUUAUAGGAUGUUACUUUUCAGUGAAUACAUAGCUGAUUAGAGGUAGACGCAGAGAACUGAAACAUCUAAGUACCUGCAGGAAGAGAAAGAAAAAUCGAUUCCCUGAGUAGCGGCGAGCGAAACGGGAAAAGCCCAAACCAAGAGGCUUGCCUCUUGGGGUUGUAGGACUCCGAUAUGGUAGUCCAGUGAGAUAGUCGAAGGACCUGGAAAGGUCUGCUAGAAAGGGUAAAAGCCCCGUAGACAAAAUUUGACUGGCACCUAGGAGGAUCCUGAGUACGGCGGAACACGAGGAAUUCCGUCGGAAUCCGGGAGGACCAUCUCCCAAGGCUAAAUACUCCCUAGUGACCGAUAGUGAACCAGUACCGUGAGGGAAAGGUGAAAAGCACCCCGGAAGGGGAGUGAAAUAGAUCCUGAAACCGUGUGCCUACAACAAGUUAGAGCCCGUUAAUGGGUGAUAGCGUGCCUUUUGUAGAAUGAACCGGCGAGUUACGAUUACUUGCGAGGUUAAGUUGAAAAGACGGAGCCGCAGCGAAAGCGAGUCUGAAUAGGGCGAAUGAGUAAGUGGUCGUAGACCCGAAACCAUGUGAUCUACCCAUGUCCAGGUUGAAGGUGCGGUAAAACGCACUGGAGGACCGAACCCACGUACGUUGAAAAGUGCGGGGAUGAGGUGUGGGUAGCGGAGAAAUUCCAAACGAACUUGGAGAUAGCUGGUUCUCUCCGAAAUAGCUUUAGGGCUAGCCUCAGAGUAAGAAUGAUGGAGGUAGAGCACUGUUUGGACUAGGGGCCCAUCUCGGGUUACCGAAUUCAGAUAAACUCCGAAUGCCAUCCAUUCAUCUCUGGGAGUCAGACUGUGAGUGAUAAGAUCCAUAGUCGAAAGGGAAACAGCCCAGACCACCAGCUAAGGUCCCCAAAUAACUAUUAAGUGGAAAAGGAUGUGGGGUUGCACAGACAACUAGGAUGUUGGCUUAGAAGCAGCCACCAUUUAAAGAGUGCGUAAUAGCUCACUAGUCGAGUGACCCUGCGCCGAAAAUGUACCGGGGCUAAAUAGUUUACCGAAGCUGUGGAACNNNNNNNNNNNNNNNNNNNNNNNNNNNNNNNNNNNNNNNNNNNNNNNNNNNNNNNNNNNNNNNNNNNNNNNNNNNNNNNNNNNNNNNNNNNNNNNNNNUAGUACCGAAGUUCCUGAUGUCACACUGCCGAGAAAAGCUUCUAGUGAGAAAACAAUGGCCCGUACCGCAAACCGACACAGGUAGUCGAGGAGAGAAUCCUAAGGUGAGCGAGAGAACUCUCGUUAAGGAACUCGGCAAAAUGACCCCGUAACUUCGGGAGAAGGGGUGCUGAUCUAACGAUCAGCCGCAGUGAAUAGGCCCAAGCGACUGUUUAUCAAAAACACAGGUCUCUGCAAAAUCGAAAGAUGACGUAUAGGGGCUGACGCCUGCCCGGUGCUGGAAGGUUAAGAGGAGUGCUUAGCGUAAGCGAAGGUACGAAUUGAAGCCCCAGUAAACGGCGGCCGUAACUAUAACGGUCCUAAGGUAGCGAAAUUCCUUGUCGGGUAAGUUCCGACCCGCACGAAAGGCGUAACGAUUUGGGCACUGUCUCAACGAGAGACUCGGUGAAAUUUUAGUACCUGUGAAGAUGCAGGUUACCCGCGACAGGACGGAAAGACCCCAUGGAGCUUUACUGCAGUUUGAUAUUGAGUGUUUGUACCACAUGUACAGGAUAGGUAGGAGCCGUAGAAGUCGGGACGCUAGUUUCGACAGAGGCGCUGGUGGGAUACUACCCUUGUGUUAUGACCACUCUAACCCGCACCACUAAUCGUGGUGGGAGACAGUGUCAGAUGGGCAGUUUGACUGGGGCGGUCGCCUCCUAAAGAGUAACGGAGGCGCCCAAAGGUUCCCUCAGAAUGGUUGGAAAUCAUUCGCAGAGUGUAAAGGCACAAGGGAGCUUGACUGCGAGACCUACAAGUCGAGCAGGGACGAAAGUCGGGCUUAGUGAUCCGGUGGUUCCGCAUGGAAGGGCCAUCGCUCAACGGAUAAAAGCUACCCUGGGGAUAACAGGCUUAUCUCCCCCAAGAGUCCACAUCGACGGGGAGGUUUGGCACCUCGAUGUCGGCUCGUCGCAUCCUGGGGCUGUAGUCGGUCCCAAGGGUUGGGCUGUUCGCCCAUUAAAGCGGCACGCGAGCUGGGUUCAGAACGUCGUGAGACAGUUCGGUCCCUAUCCGUCGCGGGCGUUGGAAAUUUGAGAGGAUCUGUCCUUAGUACGAGAGGACCGGGAUGGACUUACCGCUGGUGUACCAGUUGUCUCGCCAGAGGCAUCGCUGGGUAGCUAUGUAGGGAAGGGAUAAACGCUGAAAGCAUCUAAGUGUGAAGCCCACCUCAAGAUGAGAUUUCCCAUUUCUUUAAGAAAGUAAGAUCCCUGAGAGAAGAUCAGGUAGAUAGGUCAGGAGUGGAAGUGCAGUGAUGUACGGAGCGGACUGAUACUAAUCGAUCGAGGACUUAACCAA
This 2637-nucleotide ribosomal RNA is filed under the name Enterococcus avium. Its description in RNAcentral is "23S ribosomal RNA". It matches the Rfam family "Bacterial large subunit ribosomal RNA". Lineage: Bacteria; Bacillati; Bacillota; Bacilli; Lactobacillales; Enterococcaceae. The record is from RNAcentral.